CACAGGUAUGGUGACAUGGUACCUAAAACUAUAGCCGGGAAGAUUUUUGGUUCCAUUUGUUCACUGAGUGGGGUCUUGGUCAUCGCACUGCCUGUUCCAGUGAUUGUAUCUAAC
This is a non-coding RNA of Erinaceus europaeus (western European hedgehog), 114 nucleotides long. NCBI's taxonomy places the organism in Eukaryota, Metazoa, Chordata, Mammalia, Eulipotyphla, Erinaceidae. The record is from Rfam.